AGAGGGUCACAAGUGUGAGUCCCACUCGGGCAACUAAAUGAGACUCUGGCUCAAAAUUUUAAGAAAGGGGUGGGGAGGUAGCUCAGUGUGAAGGUCUUGGGUUCAGUCCCCAGUAUCACAAAACAAAAACAGCCUUGGUGACUCACCUCAAACACCCCCGGCUCACUCAGGCAUUUGGGCAGCCCUGGUGGGAGCAGAGUUCUCCUUCCCCUCCCUCACAGAGCAGCCGCUCCACACCCAAGCUCCACUGCCCUAGAGGCAGAGUCAUCCGCAUGCAUGGAGGUGGAGACAUGGAGGUGGGGACAGCCGAGCAGAAGAACUCUAAGGAGUUGGGGCCCACAAGAGGAGUGGGGCCAGAAGAGAAGGGACUGUGCAGCCAUGUCUAACCUGCAGCCAUGGUUGGACAUGCCUGCGCUAUAAUACAAAUAUUGUAGGAAGAAGCUUUGUUGCUUACAUACACUAUUUUAUAUAUUGUAUAUGCAGCUCAAGACAACUGCUCUUCUCUCAUCCCAGCCCAGACAGCCCAGACAGUCCAGGCAUGUCCUACCCACUAGCACAGGAGGGAAACUUCUGAGGCCUUUGCCACCCCGGGCUCUGGGCAGAGCAGCCUGGGCAUCACCUGGCCGAUCCUUGGAAGGUAGCUUCGCCAGUCCCACCCAGGCCGACUGGCCAGUGCUGCGUGUCUCUGGCCCGAAAGUUGGAGAAGCGCUGAAUCUGCAGGAUUCCGUGAUCACUUAGAUCAGAGGUGACAGCCCACGAGGCUGCUGGGACUAACCAACGCCACCAUGAAGAGCUUCACCGUGCAGAGAGAGUUCUCACAGCAGCCCUGGGACAUGGGCCUUAUCAGCCCCAUUUUACAGAGGAAGGAAUGAGGCUCAAAGAGGACAGUCAGGAACUUAGAAGCCAUUUUUGUUAUGGUCUGCAGAUGCCAAAUAGGAUCUCAUCCCCUUCCUGACUGAGGACACCAAAAGAAGAGGUUUAAAGGGUCUUCAGCGGCACCCAAAGGCCUGCAGCUGUUGUCCUGAACCUGUGAUCACCAGGGUUCUAGGGAAGGUAAAGCCCACCUGACUGAAAUGGCCACAGGCAGGAACAGUCCUUCCCUGGGAGAUUCGAGAACUAUGACCCCAGGACUGAGGAAAGGGUCAGCCAGGCCCCAGCCCACCAGGUAACCUUUGAGAGCUGCCUUCCUGCCUCUGUGGGUGGGUCAGUCCGAACCCCUGCAUCAGAGUGUAUCCCUGUAUCCUUCCCUAUCUUCCCUCUCACUUGCCAAUUCAAUAUCUGUUUUCUGUAAAUUUGUGUUUCAUUUUAAUUUCCAAUUCUAUUCAAGCAAUGACCCACAAUAGCCAGUGACAUUCCACUUGCUAUAAAAACAGAGACUAGUGGCUCAUAGAGCUGGGUUUUAACUACAGAUCAGUUACUUCUUAAGCAUGCAAGAGCAGCAUCCUUCAGAAGUUUAGGUCUCACCAGAUUACUUGAUAAUUAUUUAGUUGCAAGGAUGGCUUUUCCACUGGACUGUACACCUACAUGAGUUCCAGGGUAUCUUUACUCUCUCUCUCUCUGGAAGCCCAGUGCACAAUGCCGAGAAUGUAAUAUAUGCUGAAUAGGCUACACUGAACGGUUCAACAGGCAUUUACCAAAAUAAUGUGUGCCAGAUCCUAUAAAAAGCACACAGACUACAAAGAUAAAAAUGUGCCCCCCACCCCCGAAAAACCUCUUGCAUUAGGCAUACGGACAUUGCACUACAGUCAGCACUUGUAACAGUGGAAGAAUGCACAAAAUAUGGAGGAAGAAUGCACAAAGUGUGGAGGAAGCGUGGGGAAGGGGCUUCCAGGGAGGAAGAGUGACAGGGGAGGUGACCACUGCAGCAGAUGCAAAGCCUGAGCGAGACUGGAUGCAGGAGAACUCUGCCCUGGGGACAAGAACAGGAUGCUUCAGGCUGGGAAGAAUAGGCUGGAACACAAAGGUCUGAGAGAGCCUGGUUUUGCUAAAGCUACAGGGUAAAUAAACAGCACUCAGGAGGAUACAGGUUUCCUAAAGGGUCCCCCAUAAAUCAAACAACUUCCACCCCCAAACUGCAGGCCUCCUACCUUGAGCCCACCCCAGUCCAUGACCAUUGGAAAACACCUGCAGGACAAGAAGGAGGGGUGCCCAGCUGGGCGUGCGCAGUGCCUUUUCCCAAGUCACCAAUCAAAGGGCCCUCUUUCAACCCCAAGAGAACAGAGAGGAGCUAU
Molecule: non-coding RNA, 2231 nt
Organism: Heterocephalus glaber (naked mole-rat)
Lineage: Eukaryota; Metazoa; Chordata; Mammalia; Rodentia; Bathyergidae
Source: RefSeq, a predicted model, not a curated record